RNAcentral lists this ribosomal RNA (523 nucleotides) under uncultured Bartonella sp. RNAcentral describes it as "bacterial SSU rRNA". It matches the Rfam family "Bacterial small subunit ribosomal RNA", at positions 91 to 649 of the family's 1533-position model. The record is from RNAcentral. Lineage: Bacteria; Pseudomonadati; Pseudomonadota; Alphaproteobacteria; Hyphomicrobiales; Bartonellaceae.
GUGAGCGGCGGACGGGUGAGUAACGCGUGGGAAUCUACCCAUCUCUACGGAAUAACACAGAGAAAUUUGUGCUAAUACCGUAUACGUCCUGAGGGAGAAAGAUUUAUCGGAGAUGGAAGAGCCCGCGUUGGAUUAGCUAGUUGGUGAGGUAAAGGCUCACCAAGGCGACGAUCCAUAGCUGGUCUGAGAGGAUGAUCAGCCACACUGGGACUGAGACACGGCCCAGACUCCUACGGGAGGCAGCAGUGGGGAAUAUUGGACAAUGGGGGCAACCCUGAUCCAGCCAUGCCGCGUGAGUGAUGAAGGCCUUAGGGUUGUAAAGCUCUUUCACCGGUGAAGAUAAUGACGGUAACCGGAGAAGAAGUCCCGGCUAACUUCGUGCCAGCAGCCGCGGUAAUACGAAGGGGGCUAGCGUUGUUCGGAUUUACUGGGCGUAAAGCGCAUGUAGGCGGAUAUUUAAGUCAGAGGUGAAAUCCCAGGGCUCAACCCUGGAACGGCCUUUGAUACUGGGUAUCUUGAGUGU